RNAcentral lists this long non-coding RNA (1273 nucleotides) under Homo sapiens (human). RNAcentral's name for it is "long intergenic non-protein coding RNA 1031". The record is from RNAcentral. Lineage: Eukaryota; Metazoa; Chordata; Mammalia; Primates; Hominidae.
AAAGAAGACAAGAAGAGAAAAUGCAAGGGAGUCUGGGUCAAUUAAUUGCCUACCAGAGCACUGCCCUAUGUAUUUCAAGCAGGGAAAACGGAAGAGGGCUGACUGGUUUACUCUCAUGUAUUUCCUAUUCUGUCUGGUUGGCUUGCUGCUUAAAAAUCAGAAUACAGAAGAGAAGACAGUCUUGUGGAGGGUCAAAGGAGCCACUGUUUGUAGUUAUUUGGGAUCUUUGAGGAAACCCCUGCUAAAAUAACUUGAUUGGAGAUUUUCCUUAGUCUGGACCAAACCUUCCCAUUAUUGGACACAGAUGGUCAGCUAGUAAUCAAUCAUCUAUAAUUAUGCUUUGGAAAAACCUCAUGAGCAAAGACCCUCGACUUGUAGUCAAAGCUACAAUUUAUGUCAAGCAGCUCCAUUAGAUGUCUCAUUUCCCAGCCAUCAGGAGGAGGAAAGAGGGAAUGAAGAACAAGCUUCUUCCUGUGGGUGUGACCCAGAGGUUGUUCGUGUCACUUCUAUUCACAUUUGCUUGUGUAGAACUUACACAAUCAUACUUAACUUCAAGAAAGAUUGGGCAACAUAGUUUAUAGCGGGGAGGAUUUAUGCCCUGAAAUUGAUGGUGUCAUCUUUUCAUCUUCCCUCUCUCACCAUUAGCAUGUAAUCUGUAACUGAAUUUGAACAAUCCAACUUCCAAAUGAUUUCCAUUUUUCUCCAUAUUCCUAACAACACUUUAGUCUAAAGCGUCCUCAUCCUUGCCUAGUUUACUACAAUAACCUAAUUGGUCAGCGUGCUUCCAUUCUUGCCCCACCAAGUCAUUUCUGACACCGUGGCCGCUAAUUCUUAAGAAUAGAAACCAAAUCAUCACUCUUCUUUAAGGCCUUUAGUGUCUAUUUCCAUAGAAUAAAAUCCAUACCCUGCACCAUGAGCCGUAAGACCUGGCAAUGACCUGGCUCUAGUGUACCCAGUGCUAUCCUUGCACCAUGCUUUCCACCAGUCACUAUGUUCUGGCUUCUCUGGCCUCCACCUUUUUCUAGAACACAUUGAUCCUUUCCCCACCUCAGGCCCUUAUCCCUGCUAUUCUUCAUCCUGUAAAACUUUUGCUGGGAUCUCCGCGUGGCUGGCUCGCCCUCAUCUCUUGGCACUCAGCACAAAUGUCAUCUAUUUUGAGAAUCUUUCCUGACUGCCCUUUGUAAAGCAGCAUGUCUUGUUCCCAGUGACUCUUUAUUGCAUUACUUUAUUUAUUUUCUUCAUAGCAUUUAUUAAAUUAUAUAAUAAUCCUGUU